Molecule: ribosomal RNA, 484 nt
Filed under: uncultured bacterium
Lineage: Bacteria
Description: partial 16S ribosomal RNA
Rfam family: Bacterial small subunit ribosomal RNA
Source: RNAcentral
AUUGAACGCUGGCGGCAUGCUUUACACAUGCAAGUCGAACGGCAGCGCGGGCUUCGGCCUGGCGGCGAGUGGCGAACGGGUGAGUAAUGCAUCGGAACGUGCCCAGUAGUGGGGGAUAGCCCGGCGAAAGCCGGAUUAAUACCGCAUACGACCUGAGGGUGAAAGCGGGGGACCGAAAGGCCUCGCGCUAUUGGAGCGGCCGAUGUCGGAUUAGCUAGUUGGUGGGGUAAAGGCUUACCAAGGCGACGAUCCGUAGCUGGUCUGAGAGGACGACCAGCCAAAACUGGACUUGGGAACCGGCCCAGCCUCCAAGGGGAGGAGGAGGGGGGGAAUUUUGGACAAUGGGGGAAACCGUGUUCAAGCAAGGCGGCGUGGGGAAAGAAGGCUUCCGGGUGGUAACCCGCUUUUGUUGGGGAAGAAAUCCUCUGGGCUAAUACCCCGGGGGAAUGACGGUACCGGAAGAAUAGCACCGGCUAACUACGUG